RNAcentral lists this ribosomal RNA (407 nucleotides) under uncultured bacterium. Its description in RNAcentral is "partial 16S ribosomal RNA". It matches the Rfam family "Bacterial small subunit ribosomal RNA", at positions 28 to 526 of the family's 1533-position model. The record is from RNAcentral.
GACGAACGCUGGCGGCGUGCCUAAUACAUGCAAGUAGGACGCAGUUGCGAACGGGUGAGUAACGCGUAGGUAACUGCCUAUUAGAGGGGGAUAACUAUUGGAAACGAUAGCUAAUACCGCAUACUAGUAGAUGGACCUGCGUUGUAUUAGCUAGUAGGUAGGGUAAUGGCCUACCUAGGCGACGAUACAUAGCCGAGCGGGGAGGGUGAUCGGCAACGCUGUGACUGAGACACGGCCCAGAAUCCUACGGGAGGCAGCAGUAGGGACUCUGUGGGAAUGGGGGGAACCCUGACCGAGCAACUCCGCGCGAGUGAAGAAGGUAUUCGGAUCGUACAGCUCUGUUGUUAAGGAAGCGGUAAUUAACCAGAAGGGGACGGCUAACUACGUGCCAGCCGCCGCGGUAAUAC